AGAGUUUGAUCAUGGCUCAGAACGAACGCUGGCGGCGUACUUAACACAUGCAAGUCGUACGAGAAAGGGGACUUCGGUCCCUGAGUACAGUGGCGAACGGGUGCGUAACACGUAAGUAAUCUACCCCGAACACUGGGAUAACCCUCCGAAAGGAGGGCUAAGACUAGAUAGGGUCCCCGAGGUAUAAGCUGCGGGGGGAAAACGGGCCUCUGUUUCAUGCUCGUGGUUUGGGAUGAGCUUGCGGCCCAUUAGCUAGUUGGUAGGGUAAUGGCCUACCAAGGCAACGAUGGGUAGCUGGUCUGAGAGGAUGAUCAGCCACACUGGCACUGAGACACGGGCCAGACUCCUACGGGAGGCAGCAGUGGGGAAUUUUGCGCAAUGGGUGAAAGCCUGACGCAGUAACGCCGCGUGGAGGAUGAAGGCCUUCGGGUUGUAAACUCCUGUCGGGAGGAACGACGGAGAGAGGGUGAUAAGCCCUUUUUUCCAGACGGUACCUCCAAAGGAAGCCCCGGCUAAUUCCGUGCCAGCAGCCGCGGUAAUACGGAAGGGGCUAGCGUUGUUCGGAAUCAUUGGGCGUAAAGGGCGCGUAGGUGGUCUUGUAUGUCUACCGUGAAAGCACACGGCUCAACCGUGUUAGGUCGGUAGAAACUGCAGGACUUGAGGCUGGGAGGGGCUGGUGGAAUUCCCCGUGUAGCGGUGAAAUGCGUAGAGAUGGGGGAGAACACCCGUGGCGAAGGCGGCCAGCUAGACCAGUUCUGACACUGAGGCGCGAUAGCGUGGGGAGCAAACAGGAUUAGAUACCCUAGUAGUCC
Molecule: ribosomal RNA, 812 nt
Filed under: uncultured bacterium
Lineage: Bacteria
Description: bacterial SSU rRNA
Rfam family: Bacterial small subunit ribosomal RNA
Source: RNAcentral